GAUGAACGCUGGCGGCGUGCCUAAUACAUGCAAGUCGAGCGAACAGAUGAGGAGCUUGCUCCUCUGACGUUAGCGGCGGACGGGUGAGUAACACGUGGAUAACCUACCUAUAAGACUGGGAUAACCUCGGGAAACCGGAGCUAAUACCGGAUAAUAUAUUGAACCGCAUGGUUCAAUAGUGAAAGACGGUUUUGCUGUCACUUAUAGAUGGAUCCGCGCCGCAUUAGCUAGUUGGUAAGGUAACGGCUUACCAAGGCAACGAUGCGUAGCCGACCUGAGAGGGUGAUCGGCCACACUGGAACUGAGACACGGUCAAGACUCCUACGGGAGGCAGCAGUAGGGAAUGUUACGCAAUGGGCGAAAGCCUGACGGAGCAACGCCGAGUGAGUGAUGAAGGUCUUCGGAUCGUAAAACUCUGUUAUUAGGGAAGAACAAAUGUGUAAGUAACUAUGCACGUCUUGACGGUACCUAAUCAGAAAGCCACGGCUAACUACGUG
RNAcentral lists this ribosomal RNA (497 nucleotides) under uncultured bacterium. RNAcentral describes it as "partial 16S ribosomal RNA". It matches the Rfam family "Bacterial small subunit ribosomal RNA", at positions 28 to 507 of the family's 1533-position model. The record is from RNAcentral.